UGGGGAAUAUUGCACAAUGGGCGCAAGCCUGAUGCAGCCAUGCCGCGUGUAUGAAGAAGGCCUUCGGGUUGUAAAGUACUUUCAGCGGGGAGGAAGGGAGUAAAGUUAAUACCUUUGCUCAUUGACGUUACCCGCAGAAGAAGCACCGGCUAACUCCGUGCCAGCAGCCGCGGUAAUACGGAGGGUGCAAGCGUUAAUCGGAAUUACUGGGCGUAAAGCGCACGCAGGCGGUUUGUUAAGUCAGAUGUGUAAUCCCCGGGCUCAACCUGGGAACUGCAUCUGAUACUGGCAAGCUUGAGUCUCGUAGAGGGGGGUAGAAUUCCAGGUGUAGCGGUGAAAUGCGUAGAGAUCUGGAGGAAUACCGGUGGCGAAGGCGGCCCCCUGGACGAAGACUGACGCUCAGGUGCGAAAGCGUGGGGAGCAAACAGG
Molecule: ribosomal RNA, 429 nt
Filed under: Chloroflexota bacterium
Lineage: Bacteria; Bacillati; Chloroflexota
Description: Chloroflexi bacterium partial 16S ribosomal RNA
Rfam family: Bacterial small subunit ribosomal RNA
Source: RNAcentral